This is a long non-coding RNA of Mytilus californianus (California mussel), 845 nucleotides long. RefSeq lists it as uncharacterized. The record is from RefSeq and is a predicted model, not a curated record. The transcript has 3 exons. NCBI's taxonomy places the organism in Eukaryota, Metazoa, Mollusca, Bivalvia, Mytilida, Mytilidae.
UCAAAGAAAGGGGUUCUCCGUUACUGGGAAAAUCUUAUCUGAUUUAGGAUCAAUUUAUUGGUUACACUCCCCUAUCACCAGUGAUUCUUUGUCGUAAGCUGACAUUUUGAAAAAGGGCAAGAACAUUAAAGAUAAAGGGAAACUAUAAACAAAAGAGAUUAUCAACAAAAAUAGAUUUCAGACGUCAACAAAGCCUAAAUGGUCAGACAUCUUGGUUUUCAUGAUCAUCAUUCAACAGGUCAAUACUGAACAGAAAACUUAAAGUUGAUAUUUUUCUAUAUAGUGUGACUUUUUUAUUAAUUUGAAAUGGAAUGUGUUUUUUUCCUACAUAAGAAAGAGGAAAUUUCAACAUAAUGACUAUAAACAAAAAGGAGUCAUAUUAUCAUGAUCAUAGAUGCACGUCAAGAACUAAAUCAUGUAAAUGCAACAACGUAAUUAUCAAUUGAAAGAAGGGAGGAAUGAAAAAAUAUAUUAGAAAUUUGUUGUCCAAAUGAACUUGCUUUGUCCACUCAUUUAAAUCGCUCCAUCCAAUAAAGAUGUACGGAGGAGGAUUUUUGAAGAACAGAUUGCAAAAAUGUUUUGUCUAAGAACUGUAGGAAUAUUCUAGUGGAUGAAAUAAUUUAUUUACUUGACUCUUAUGUAGUGGACUGAAUAAUUGUACAUAGCAAGCUGAAACAAGAAAACUAAAACUUAACAGGAAAAGUGUUUAUUUUAUAAAUUUGCAAAUAUAAACGUAAUAUUAUGAACACCACAAAGGUAUAAGAUUCAAAUUGUUUGCAUAUUCAUGUAUUGCAAUGGAACUAUAACAAAGAAAACUUUACCUCAUUAAAAGAGUAAACUAUUAA